GUGCCAGAAGUUUCGGUUAGACAAAUAGAACGAGUAGUUUACAUUAAAGGUUUAAAGGAUUAGUAGACGGUAAUUAAUUAUAAUUUAUAUAUAAUUAAUAUUUAAUUAUAUAGUUACUAGAAUAAAAUAUAAUAGUUAAUGAAAAAUAGAAGUAAAAGUUAAAUUUUAUUAGAUUUAUUGGACAAUCAUUAAAUGAAAGUAUUAAGUAGAUAUUUUAUUGACGUUGAGAUAAUGAAACCUAAAUCAUCAAGUUGGACUUGUUAACCAAUUAGUUUUAGGCGUAAACGAUGUAUAUUAAAUAAAAAUAUCAUAUUUUUAUUGAAGAUAAUUUAUAAUAUACCACCUGAAAAGUAUAAUACAGAAUUGAAAUUUAAAACAAUAGGCCGUUUAGUUUAUUAACAGUGGAUCAUGUUAUUUAAU
This 420-nucleotide ribosomal RNA is filed under the name Wickerhamiella pararugosa. RNAcentral describes it as "partial small subunit ribosomal RNA". It matches the Rfam family "Bacterial small subunit ribosomal RNA", at positions 505 to 950 of the family's 1533-position model. The record is from RNAcentral. Lineage: Eukaryota; Fungi; Ascomycota; Dipodascomycetes; Dipodascales; Trichomonascaceae.